Molecule: ribosomal RNA, 490 nt
Filed under: uncultured bacterium
Lineage: Bacteria
Description: partial 16S ribosomal RNA
Rfam family: Bacterial small subunit ribosomal RNA
Source: RNAcentral
GAUGAACGCUGGCUACAGGCUUAACACAUGCAAGUCGAGGGGAAACGACGGGGAAGCUUGCUUCCCCGGGCGUCGACCGGCGCACGGGUGAGUAACGCGUAUCCAACCUGCCUCUGACUGAGGGAUAACCCGUCGAAAGUCGGCCUAAUACCUCAUGGCAUCGUCUGCGGGCAUCCAACGACGAUUAAAGAUUUCAUCGGUCAGAGAUGGGGAUGCGUCUGAUUAGCUUGUUGGCGGGGUAACGGCCCACCAAGGCGACGAUCAGUAGGGGUUCUGAGAGGAGGGACCCCCACAUUGGGACUGGGACCCGGCCCAAACCCCUACGGGAGGCAGGAGGGGGGAAUAUUGGCAAAGGGGGGGAGGCCUGAACCAGCCAAGGAGGGUGGAGGAUGACGGCCCUAUGGGUUUAAAACGUUUUUUAGGGGGGGAAAAAGAGGGGGGGGGGCCCUUCUUGGCGGGUCCCGAAGAAAAAAGGACGGGCUAAUUCCGG